UACGGAAGGUGCAAGCGUUAGUCGGAAUUACUGGGCGUAAAGGGUGCGUAGGCGGUGAUGUAGGUCGGACGUGAAAUUCCGAAGCUCAACUUCGGAGCUGCAUCCGAAACCACAUCGCUAGAGGAAUGGCGGAGAAAAUGGAAUUCCAUGUGUAGCGGUGAAAUGCGUAGAUAUAUGGAAGAAUACCUGUGGCGAAAGCGAUUUUCUAGCCUUCUCCUGACGCUGAGGCACGAAAGCAAGGGGAGCAAACAGGAUUAGAUACCCGCGUA
Molecule: ribosomal RNA, 269 nt
Filed under: uncultured prokaryote
Description: partial 16S ribosomal RNA
Rfam family: Bacterial small subunit ribosomal RNA
Source: RNAcentral